CACCAUAACGUUCCCCUGCCUGCCUGGCUGGCCGGUUCUCCCAGGUUAUGGUGUGACACACUGCAGCAUCCAACAAACCCGGUAUGGUCCCUCUUUUUAUCGGCACGCUAGGUUUUCUUCUUUUAAAACAGGGUUUAGCUUUAGAAGACCGCCGCGAGGGGCUAGCCGUGGUGCUCUUUAGAGCCCUAUAAACGCGGCGCUUACAGUACCUCUUCCUCCACACACUUCUCUACUCAGGCGAAGGAGUUGGACAACUAAACGGUCUACGGUGACGCGGGAGACGCAGGCUAGGGUCGGUCUUCGGACGCUUUUUCCGCUGCGCUGUUACCCGGCGUACCUGUGCGGUUCUCCUCCUCUCAAAGAAGUUACGAGACGCGGUUCAUCCUUUUUUAAAACUCUUCUAAUGGGAUGCACAGGUCUCGUUUUUGUUUCUAGUCCAGUCUGUAAUGAUGAUAGCGGAACAAUCUGCGUACUUCUUCGAAGACCCAGGACCCAAGAGUGAACUACGUGCUUUGAGGUUCCUGUGCUAACGACGAUACGAGGCGACCACCAGAGAAGAGCUCUUUAAAUCGACGUCACGAAGUUUCGAUGUAGACUUCGGAGCCUCUAAGUUUUGUAAACAUCUACGUAACCCUUUAGUUGACGAUUUUCUAUCUUUUUCUUGCUCUUCUUUCACAAGUGAUCCCCUAUGUGCAAAUAGAAGAAGUAGAGGUCAAGAGUCGUUCUGAGGUCCUUUAGUUAGAAAACGUCAUCCUGAGAACGGGUACCUACGUGUUUUGCCAUCGUUUCCUCGGAGAAGAUUUCCUCGCAAAUACUUUGCCCAACGUCUUGGAUUAAGAUUGUUCAGUCCUCAUUAGUCUCCUCUGGAGAGACGGUGUUCUUGACACUCUGUUUUUUCCUCUCGUCCCCCACGACCACGCACACGCCGUAUAUUCUUUACCCUCUCUCGACGGUACCGACCACAAAGAAAUCAACGACUACGUCGACUCCUCGAACUUGCGUUUUACUGCUGGGUCUUGAACAGUACAUUACGCCUACGUUGACACGAUCGAAGUAGUGGGUUGUUGCAUAGAUGACAACUACUACACCCGUGUUUAGUAUACUUUCUUCGUCUAGGCGUUCGUGGAAGUUUCGACUUCGACGUCAAUAAAGGUUAUUUACUUCGGUGUGCCUUCCGUAACCUCUUCCUACUAGUAUUAGGUGUAGACCUCGAGUGUAAUUCAAGGUUCUUUUUUUACAGAAGACAAAAUCUUGUAGACUUAGCGUUCACCCCGUUGAGUUUGUAACGUACACCUCUCGAACACGAAAAGGGUAUAACACGAGUAGUUCUCCUAAAUCGCUGGAUAGUCUCCACCUGUUGAGUUCUAUGACAACGUCACCGACUACAGAAAAAAAGACACUUAUCGGGGAGAUAAAAGGCUAAUUCCAUACCGACCAAGAGGGAACGGCUCGAACUCCGUCCUGAUUCACUUUAUAGCAACUGGGCGAAACUCUUAACGUACUAUGGUCUUCUGUAAGUCCAGUUUAGAAGGAGUCUCCGGACACACGUUUUCCUACCGUGAAAUGGGUCACUGAAGUGAAGACUCGUUAGUAGAUUAUUGAGUUUUCUAGUCAGCCGUAAUAACGAACCAUGUGGUAGAUCAUGUCCGUUCUUACGACGCCUUCUCGGAAGGUAAUUAUGGAAAGGGAGAGUCAGACCGCUAGUGUUAGUUCUUGUUCAAGGACGUUUGGUUCGAAAACUCCAACUAGGAGUCUACCUAACAGAACGUUAUAGCCUUCAUCUAACCCGUCUAUGGGAAUGACUAUAGUCACAACCUAUGAACGACUGUCUUCGUAGGUUCCGACGAUUAAACCUAACACUUCACUGGAGAUAACGGUUUUUAGGAGAAAAGCUACUCUUAGACACGUCGAUACUGAGCAAACUACGACGACAACGGGAUGUACGAAGAGCAAUAGUUCGCCGUCUCGUCGGUCGAGUUUGUAGGGUAAGGUGGUAGACCCCACGUCUUCUUUGUACACUACUCAAGUCAAAAUACAACCGGUGUCGAUCCUUCGUUGUUCCAAAUUUGUGAAGUCGAUCGUCGGGAGGACUAUCGCUGUUACUUCAAGUGAGAAGUUUAAGUCUUCCCAAAGUUCCAAAAGAAGUCCUGAACCGACCUCCUCUAUGUGAACCAUUAGGAACACGACUACUACAGUUCCGUUACCUUCUUGAAACACGGUCUAGUGGUGGAGUUUCACUGUUACUAAAACCUAACUUUCUAGUCGGAGAUCUACUGCGUAAGACCGGGCUUAGUGAACCUGGUGACCUGAACCUAUAUGGCGGUUAUUCUAGGGAUCGACUACUCAAGUAGAAUCCUCUGUCAGUUUUAUCAACCUCAGCCUACUACCUUUUAUCGUACCUACGUAAAGCUUUGUACAGCAAGAAGCACAGGCUAUUGUUGCUGAGUCAAGAAGGUGGGUAGUACAUCUCAACACCUACGACCGAUACAAACCGAUCCUUCCUAUGACGGUUAGUCCGUAGGGCGGCUCCUCCUCCGAAAUAUAACAGGUUCGCCCGACGAACAACGAUUAUGUUGUAUACGCCUGAACGACACGGAAACGUCAGUUCUCCCUGCGUACAACAACAUUCCAAUAUUGUAUUUUAGAACAUGAUACAUUUAGCCCAACAAGGACAUGUUUUCCGUGUAUGUUCGCGAACCAAUGUUAUUUCGGAGAAGUAGGCCUAUAACACUUUACUCGAACCCAGUUAACCUCAAACAAAAAAAUAUAUGUUAAAAAAACUGUUUUUGUAUAAACUUC
This 2799-nucleotide ribosomal RNA is filed under the name Triticum aestivum (bread wheat). RNAcentral's name for it is "partial small subunit ribosomal RNA". Lineage: Eukaryota; Viridiplantae; Streptophyta; Magnoliopsida; Poales; Poaceae. The record is from RNAcentral.